CCACACAUACUUGCGCACAAGUAUUCAGAGCAGCACAAUUCACAGUAACCAAGAGGUGGAAGCAGGCAAACGUCCAUCCACAGACGAACCAAGUGUGGUCCAUACCCCCGAUGGAGCAUUACUCAGCUUUAGAAAAAGAGGCGAUGCCGACCCUGGUUCCAAUGUGGAUGAAGCUGAAGACAUUAUGGUAUACACCCAAAAGGACUGAAAACAAAUACUCAUACGAAGUGUUCACAGCAGCAUUAUCCAGAGUGGCCAAAAGGUGGAAACCGCUGCACGCCAAUCAACUGAUGAAUGGGUAAACAAAUGUGGUCAGUCUGUACACUGGAAUAUUAUUCAGUCAUAAAAAGGAAUGAAGAACUGAUUCUUCCUACAAUAUGACAAUAUGAAUAAACCUUAAAACUUCAUCCUAAGGAGAGAAGCCAGACUUGACAAUCAUGUAUUGCAUGGCUCUGUUUAUAUGAAAAGACUAGGAAACUGAGGCUCAGAGAAGGGACGCGUUGGCUCAAAGCAGGGCCUGGAUGUCUGUGCAACGCCGUCCUUGCUGGGGAUGGGGCCAAGGACUUAGGCCUCCCCGGAGCUCGAGAUUUCACUCCCAGGAAACAAAACAAAGCUCUCCUUCACAAGAGAGCACAGUCUAGGAAACAUGGGAGGAAAGACAGCUUUGGAAAGCCAUCAGUGAAAGCUGCAGCCAUCACCCGCAGUGGCUGGGGACCAGGAGGCACGGGGCGCCAAAGCAUCAGCCACAGGUGACUGCUUGGGUGUGCCGGGGCCUUUACAUGGGGACAUCUGGCCCCGUCAGUAUCAUGCAAGGCAGGUGAGCUGACACAGGGCUCCACUUGAUGAGAUGCAAUAGGAAGGACACGCCUCACCUGGGGGUCUUCUCAAAACAUGUGGCCCAACCCAGGGGAGCCCACAGAGACACUGUUCAGCGUUCAGAACUCACAGAAGGAAGAGGAGGACACAGUCAAACCAGGCAGGGAGGGGCAAGCAGAGAGGAGGCUGCAGGGCACUCCACGGGACAUGCGACAGAAGACGGGAAAAGAAGAGAACAAAGAAGAUGAAAGAGCAAAAGGGAGGGAAUGAUGCUAGGAGAAAAAGGACCUGAGACAAACCAACAGCAGGCGUGACCCUCGCUGGAUCCUGAAUCACAGGAAGCAGGCAUGGGACUUCCCUGGUAGUCCAGUGGUUAGGAAUCUGUCUGCCAAUGCAGGGGACAUGGGUUUGAUCCCUGGUCUGGAAAGAUCCCACAUGCUGCAGGGCAACUAAGCCAGUGAG
Molecule: long non-coding RNA, 1278 nt
Organism: Cervus elaphus (red deer)
Lineage: Eukaryota; Metazoa; Chordata; Mammalia; Artiodactyla; Cervidae
Exons: 4
Source: RefSeq, a predicted model, not a curated record